AAUCCCAAACUAGUUGGGGUUGGCAAAUUUUUCACUCAAAAAGAUUUAAAAGAAAAAUAUUGUUCUCCUGUCAUUUCUUUUUCUUCUCCAAUCACAGUCAUAAGAUCUUGAAAUUUAAAAGAAAAACGAAGAGGGGGAAGGGGGGAACAAGAACAGCUUCCAAAUCAUACUGGAGCUCAUUUUGAGUUCCAGAUUGAGCAUGAGCACAAUUUUUAAAUUAGUGAUCAAGCUAAGCUCAGGGUCACCCCAGGCUUAGCUGAGGCAAUUGACAGUGCUACCUAUAGUGCUCUCCCCUUUCACCAAAUAAACAAAAAAAAUAAUAGAUGGCAAAAGAUGUCUUCCUGUCCCACCAUUUCUUUUUUUCCAUAAAUAACUUGUUGGAUUGCUACUUAAGAUGUUGCACAAUAUGGCAUGAAUGAUCAGCACAGUUUAAGUGUGUGUCUUUGUGUAUCUGGUAAAACCUUAGUAGUUAUAACAUUUAACAAUCACAAUAUAUAUAAAAAAUAACCUACAGCGAGCAAUGGUUUUGUAUUUAUUAAUUUCUUAACUGCUUCUUUUAUACAAGCUAGAACUCUUCCAUAUGGAAACUCUACUUCAAAUAAAUUUUAAUCUCCUUGUUUGACAGAUGAUAAGUUCUAUGUACCAAGAUUCAAGCUAAGGCAAACAUGUUUAGACCAAACCUUAAAUGUAUUUGAGAAAAUUCAAAAUUAUGAUAGCAGACAGUAU
This 726-nucleotide unclassified non-coding RNA is filed under the name Hevea brasiliensis (rubber tree). The record is from RNAcentral. Lineage: Eukaryota; Viridiplantae; Streptophyta; Magnoliopsida; Malpighiales; Euphorbiaceae.